ACCUUUUGAGUAUGGUUAGUACAUUUGCCUUCCAAGCAAAAAGAUUAAAUGUGAUUUAAAAGAGGUA
This 67-nucleotide transfer RNA is filed under the name Rapana venosa (veined rapa whelk). RNAcentral's name for it is "tRNA-Gly". The record is from RNAcentral. Lineage: Eukaryota; Metazoa; Mollusca; Gastropoda; Neogastropoda; Muricidae.